UACGUAGGGGGCAAGCGUUGUUCGGAAUUACUGGGCGUAAAGCGCGCGUAGGCGGACUGGCAAGUCAGAUGUGAAAGCCCCGGGCUCAACUUGGGAACUGCAUUUGAUACUGCCAGACUAGAGUACAGAAGAGGUGACUGGAAUUCCCAGUGUAGCGGUGGAAUGCGCAGAUAUCAGGAGGAACACCAAUAGCGAAGGCAGCUCGCUGGGACGGUACUGACGCUAAGGCGCGAAAGCGUGGGGAGCAAACAGG
RNAcentral lists this ribosomal RNA (253 nucleotides) under uncultured bacterium. RNAcentral describes it as "partial 16S ribosomal RNA". It matches the Rfam family "Bacterial small subunit ribosomal RNA", at positions 524 to 776 of the family's 1533-position model. The record is from RNAcentral.